Homo sapiens (human) is the source of this 3551-nucleotide long non-coding RNA. Lineage: Eukaryota; Metazoa; Chordata; Mammalia; Primates; Hominidae. The record is from Ensembl.
GUUUCCAACGGUUGCAGUAGCUGACUAGUCAGUGGCUUCAGCAACACACAUUUAUUCUCCUAUAGCCCUGGAGGUCAGAAGCUCCGAUCCAGGUGUUGGCUGGGUUCCACUCCUCCUGGAGGCGCUAGGGGAGGAUCUGUGUCCCUCUUACCAUUUCUAGGAUCCGCUGCACCCCUUGGCUCAGGCCUCUCUUCCAUCUUCAAAGUCAGCAGCCUCUCCUCCCCUCUGACCUUGGCUUCCUCUGCCCGACUCUGACCCCUUGCCUUCCUCUUACAAGGACCCUGUGAUGACCUGGCGCCCACCCAGCUAAUCCAGGGAGGAGAAGAGAAUACUGAGCGUCUUUUCGUUUCUGCUCUGCCAGUAGUUUACAGCCAGAGGCAAAGCAAACCAAGAACACAGAGCCAUCUACAGGGAAAAAUCCUGGGUAACUACUUCUUCUCAGAAAAGCCCAUCACCAUCUCCACGCUCAAGAGAAUAGUGCUGGACCCCUACCUCACACCAUGUACCAAAACUAACUCAGAACAGACCAACAACCCUAAUGUAACAGCAAAAAAUAUAGAACUCUCAGACAAAAACCCAGGGGAAAAGCUUGACAACAUUGCUUUUGGCAGUGAUUUCUAGGAUAUGACACCAAAAGCACAAGCAGCAACAGAAAAAAACAUUAAAUUUAAACCAUCUGUGCACCAAGGACACUGAACAGUGAAAACACAACCAUGAAAUGGGAGAAGAAGUGUCCGUGACAGUCGCUGUCAUGGAAGUCACCUCCCCAGCACCACAAGGGAGAGCCAUCCUUCCUGCAGGGCGGCCACGUGGCCACCUAGGCUGGUCCCGGGAGACCUUGGACCCAGGCUGGUGCCUGCCCCAGCUCCUGUCCCGAGACGUGGCUGAAGGUGUGGAACUGCAGGGUGCUAUGGCAAUUGUUUAGCUUUGCGAGGAAUCACCAGACCAUUUCCCACAGCAGCUGCACCAUUUCACACUCCCAAAAGGAAUGUGUGCCGAGCGGGUGCUGUUUCAAGCUGCUAAGUUUCUGGAAACCCGAGUGAAGGCUGAGUGCCCCAUGAGGGACCCGGGCUCUGACACAGACAGACUGUCCCGGCUGGAGUCCAGCUCCUGGACGACCUGGGUCUCCCCGUUCUGCACUGGUAUCGCGCGGUGAGGCGGCGCUGAUCAGAACCUCAAAAGACCUGACCCCGAACACCGUCAUCCCAAAUCCUGAGCUCCUGAAAGAUCAAAACCUAACAUGUUGGUGUUCUGACCAGUUUCUCUGUGAAUGGUUCAUCUGCACAUAACUCAUAUCCACGUGACUGAAUGAGCACACCUGUGUGUCUGUGCUGGAGAAAAUGUUAUGAUCACCGACUUUAUUGGGAUGUCAGCAUUCAGAACUGUGUCCCAGGAUCGUGGCCCAGACCCACAGGGCAGGGGCGUGCACUUUUGAGGGUUCUGAAGACGACUCAACAGGGUGCCUGACCUGCUGGUAAGGACUCAGGAGACCUCACCUGUCCUCGUCACACUCAUGGAAGGGGACUCCAGAUCCCUGGCGUAGCUGGUCUGGGAACUGGGGAGGGAUGGGCAGUGCCCGGUAUAGGGUGCAACCUCCAGUGCCCACAUUAGCACGUCUGUUGCUGUGAGAUUCUAUCCUGUGGACACCUGUGGCUGUAACACACACCUUCCCACUGCUGUCACAGGAGUGAUACUCUUUCCGAUUCUAACAUCAGUGUGUGCACAUUUUGGGAAAACCAGCAAGUACAGAAGAAGAAUUUAGGCCGGGCCCAGUGGCUCACGCCUGGAAUCCCAGCACUUCGGGAAGUCAAGGCAGGAGGAUCGCUGGAGGCCAGGAGUUUGAGAUCAGCCCGGGCAACAUAGUGAGACCUCAUCUCUAUUUAAGAAAGAAAAAGACCACUGGUCCUCCCAGUGUUUACAAGAUUUUUCCAUUAAAACAGGAGGGAUCAUAAUGAGCGGCCUAACAAAGACAUUUAAAGACACGCCAAGAAGGGGCGCAGACAGGAGUCCUGAGAUGCAGUCAUGGGAACCCGCACCUGUUUUCCCGCCCUGGGCACCCAGCGUGGACAGGCUGGCCGGUGCCAGGGUGAGCAGGGCAGGCUGAGGUCUCCAGUGGGUGGGGACAGGUUAGGGGGCAGCAAUUCAGUGACCCUGUCCAGGACUGGGUCCCUUGCAGAAGGUGAGGUCAGCCAGGGGUGGGGGUGGUGGCUGUGGAAUCCGUUGUCUGGUCUAUAGGGGGUCCCCCUACCGAAGCCCUAACCCUCUCCCCUUCACCACCCCAGUGAUCUCCUGGCCCAGGCUGCUGCCUCCAGCAGCUCCCCAGCCCCCAGGACAGUCCUUCAGGACUCUAGGGGGAGUCCCGUCUACAAGGACGGCUCACCAGUCUCCCGCCACAGCCAGUGAGGAUGGGGUCCUGCAGCCGAAGUGGUGUGUGCCCAGUGUGGUGUCCCUGGCAGGCUGGGAGGGUGCCCCCAGCUGCCAGUUAGUGAGGCUGGGUUAGCACGAGGGCAAGGAGCUUGGAUUCUGGGGCUGACAGCCUGAGCUCAACUCCAGCGCCCCAUCUUGCUGGGGCUCCUCCGCCUGGAGGCGGCUCCUCCACCUGCCUCUGCCUCCGUUUCUGCAGCAGUUGCCUGCCGGACUCCAGCCCGAGGCGGGGGCCACGGCUGACCCAGCUGGAGAACGCCCCACUGGCCCAGUCAGUGCUGUCCUCUGCACCUGAUGGCUUCUCUUGGCAGGGAGGGCUCCCCCGCCCCCGGGCUCUGUGCCAGCCAGAGGUUCCGCAGGAGCUGCUCACUUCCUCCCGCCGGCAGAGGCAGCCUGCGGGGCGGCUCCAACCUGGAGAAACCAAAAUCAGGGCAAGUCCCUGGCUGCUUCCCUGGAAAGCCCCGACGGAGUCCCCGCUCCUUCCCGCCGGUUCUCAGGGUGCUUUAUUUCAGAAGGGGAUUUCUUCCUCCUGAGAAUCUGAUGGCCACAGGGUGCCUGUCACAUGUCCACAUCGGGCCCUCCUGGCUGUCACCAACUUGUCCAACUGUCAGAGGUGUUUGAACCAGAGCGACUCCGUCUUGAAUAGGGGCUGGGUGGAAUGAGGCUGGGGCCUGCUGGACUGCGUUCCCGGGAGGGUAAGGCAUUCUUAGUCACAAGACAGGAGGUUGGCACAAGAUACAAGUCACGAAGACCUUGCCGAUAAAGCAGGUUGCAGUAAAGAAGUGGCCAAAUCCCACCAAAACCAAGAUGGUGACUAGAGUGACCUCUGGUCGUGCUCGCCACUCAUUAUACACAAAUUCUAAUGCAUUAGCUGCUAAGAGACACUCCCACCAGCGCCAUGUCCACAAAUGCCAUGGCAACGUCCGAAAGUUACCCUGCACGGUCUAAAAAGGAGAGGAAGCCUCAGUUCUGGGAAUUGACCACCCUUUCCCAGAAAAUUCAUGAAUAAUCCACUCCUUGUUUAACAUAUAAUCAAGAAAUGACCAAAAUAAGCAUAAGAAUAUUCAGCUGAGCAGCCCAGCCCUCCGCACUGCCUCUGGAGUAGCCAUUCUUUAUUCCUUUACUCU